Molecule: transfer RNA, 72 nt
Filed under: Camelus bactrianus (Bactrian camel)
Lineage: Eukaryota; Metazoa; Chordata; Mammalia; Artiodactyla; Camelidae
Also listed under: 1 other name
Rfam family: tRNA
About the family: Transfer RNA (tRNA) molecules are approximately 80 nucleotides in length.
Source: Rfam by way of RNAcentral
GUAUAUAUAGCUCAGUGGUAGAACCCAUGCUUGGCAUGCACAAAGUCCUGGGUUCAAUUCCCAGUACCUCCA